Molecule: ribosomal RNA, 459 nt
Filed under: uncultured bacterium
Lineage: Bacteria
Description: bacterial LSU rRNA
Rfam family: Bacterial large subunit ribosomal RNA
Source: RNAcentral
CGGAAAGUGAUACACGGGAGACAGACGGUGGGGUGCUAACGUCCAUCGUCAAGAGGGAAACAACCCAGACCGCCAGCUAAGGUCCCAAAAUCCAUGGCUAAGUGGAAAACGAGGUGGGAAGGCAUAGACAGCUAGGAUGUUGGCUUAGAAGCAGCCAUCAUUUAAAGAAAGCGUAAUAGCUCACUGAUCGAGUCGUCCUGCGCGGAAGAUGUAACGGGGCUAAGCCAGUUACCGAAGCUGCGGAUGCACACGCAAGUGUGCGUGGUAGGAGAGCGUUCUGUAAGCCUGUGAAGGUGGCUUGUAAAGGCUGCUGGAGGUAUCAGAAGUGCGAAUGCUGACAUGAGUAGCGUUAAAGGGGUGAAAAGCCUCCUCGCCGUAAGCGCAAGGUUUUCUACGCAACGUUCAUCGGCGUAGAGUGAGUCGGCCCCUAAGGUGAGGCAGAGAUGCGUAGCUGAUGGG